RNAcentral lists this unclassified non-coding RNA (345 nucleotides) under soil metagenome. RNAcentral's name for it is "partial contains 5.8S ribosomal RNA, internal transcribed spacer 2, and large subunit ribosomal RNA". The stretch from base 1 to 120 matches the Rfam family "5.8S ribosomal RNA", at positions 35 to 154 of the family's 154-position model. The record is from RNAcentral.
GAUGAAGAACGCAGCGAAAUGCGAUACGUAAUGUGAAUUGCAGAAUUCAGUGAAUCAUCGAGUCUUUGAACGCACAUUGCGCCCCCUGGUAUUCCGGGGGGCAUGCCUGUCCGAGCGUCAUUGCUGCCCUCAAGCACGGCUUGUGUGUUGGGCCUCCGUCCUCCUCCCGGGGGACGGGCCCGAAAGGCAGCGGCGGCACCGCGUCCGGUCCUCGAGCGUAUGGGGCUUCGUCACCCGCUCUUGUAGGCCCGGCCGGCGCUUGCCGACACAUCAAUCUUUUUUCCAGGUUGACCUCGAAUCAGGUAGGGAUACCCGCUGAACUUAAGCAUAUCAAUAAGCGGAGGA